RNAcentral lists this ribosomal RNA (684 nucleotides) under uncultured bacterium. RNAcentral describes it as "partial 16S ribosomal RNA". The record is from RNAcentral.
AGAUCUUAACACUAGGCCGGUCAUUUUACACGGGACGGGUGAUCACGUGGGUCGUCAUACUGGAUCUCCGGAACGGGCUUCGGAUCUGCCUGUAGAGUAGCGAAAUUGAAAAGAGCAGAGCUUCAGAGCUAGUCACUUAAUAGGAUAGAGAACCCAGCAGUCGCAUUAAGCUAGUUAGAGUAGAAGAGUAACGAGCUUCACCAAAGAGCAAACGAAUAGAAGUAAGCCAGAACCUAGAAGAAGAGGUAGAUCGAGCCACACUAGGGACUAGAAGACACAGGCCUCAAGAUCUCCAUACAGAGAGAAGAGCAAGUCAAGUAAGAGAGAAAAUCUUUCUCAGCAAUAGAGANCAGACAAAUGUCUAGAACAGAGAAGUCAAUCAGCACAAGACAGUAGAAGUAGAUAGAAUUGAGCUUUUCGAGAGUUCAGUAACAAAUCUUCUAGUUUAGUUAGAGGGAAAACGAAACAAAGUNGCUUAAGAUAUAGAAUAACGCUAGGCACCUUGACAGGUACCUAAUCCAGAAAAGCUCACGGCUAACUACGUAGCCAGCAGCCGCGGUAAUACAGUAGGUGGCAAGCGUUAAUCCGGAAUUAUUGGGCGUCAAAGCGCGCGCAGGUGGUUUUCUUAAAGUUCCUUGAAUUAGUUGAAACANGCCCCAACCGAGGCUUCCANACCCCGUGUGG